CGGGGUGUAGCGCAGUCGGCUAGCGCGCCUGUCUUGGGAACAGGAGGUCGCUGGUUCAAGUCCAGUCACCCCGACCA
RNAcentral lists this transfer RNA (77 nucleotides) under Thermosipho ferrireducens. RNAcentral describes it as "Thermosipho sp. JL129W03 tRNA-Pro". It matches the Rfam family "tRNA". Rfam says of the family: Transfer RNA (tRNA) molecules are approximately 80 nucleotides in length. Their secondary structure includes four short double-helical elements and three loops (D, anti-codon, and T loops). Lineage: Bacteria; Thermotogati; Thermotogota; Thermotogae; Thermotogales; Fervidobacteriaceae. The record is from RNAcentral.